CUGGGAUUAGAUACCCCACUAUGCUUAGCCCUAAACACAGAUAAAACUCUACUUUACUUUAUCCGCCCGGGUACUACGAGCAUCAGCUUGAAACCCAAAGGACUUGGCGGUGCUUUAGACCCAUCUAGAGGAGCCUGUUCUAUAACCGAUAAUCCCCGUUGAACCUCACCCUUCCUUGUUCUUUUCCGCCUAUAUACCGCCGUCGCAAGCUUACCCUGUGAAGGUCCAAUAGUUAGCUUAAUCGGCACAGCCCAGAACGUCAGGUCGAGGUGUAGCUUACGGAGGGGGAAGAAAUGGGCUACAUUCCCUAAUUUAGGGUAAACGGAUAAUGCACUGAAACGUGCAUCAGAAGGUGGAUUUAGUAGUAAGCAGAAAACAGAGUGUUCUGCUGAAACCGGCUCUGAAGCGUGCACACACCGCCCGUC
RNAcentral lists this ribosomal RNA (425 nucleotides) under Eucinostomus entomelas (darkspot mojarra). RNAcentral describes it as "partial 12S ribosomal RNA". It matches the Rfam family "Bacterial small subunit ribosomal RNA", at positions 772 to 1398 of the family's 1533-position model. The record is from RNAcentral. Lineage: Eukaryota; Metazoa; Chordata; Actinopteri; Gerreiformes; Gerreidae.